UACGAGGGGGCAAGUGUUGUUCGGAAUUACUGGGCGUAAAGGGAGCGUAGGCGGGCUCUUAAGUUGGAUGUUUAAAACCGGGGCCUAACCCCGGCGUGGCAUCCAAAACUGGGAGUCUUGAAUGGGACAGAGGCCAGUGGAAUUAGAGGUGUAGCGGUGGAAUGCGUAGAUAUCUCUAAGAACACCAGUUUGUGAAGGCGGCUGGCUGGGUCCACAUUGACGCUGAGGCUCGAAAGCGUGGGGGAGCAAAACAGG
Molecule: ribosomal RNA, 255 nt
Filed under: uncultured bacterium
Lineage: Bacteria
Description: partial 16S ribosomal RNA
Rfam family: Bacterial small subunit ribosomal RNA
Source: RNAcentral